Molecule: transfer-messenger RNA, 356 nt
Filed under: Arenicellales
Lineage: Bacteria; Pseudomonadati; Pseudomonadota; Gammaproteobacteria
Also listed under: 2 other names
Description: GCA-2724185 sp002724185 Standard tmRNA
Rfam family: transfer-messenger RNA
About the family: Bacterial tmRNA, also known as 10Sa RNA or SsrA, is named for its dual tRNA and mRNA-like properties. Its role is to liberate the mRNA from a stalled ribosome. To accomplish this part of the tmRNA is used as a reading frame that ends in a translation stop signal.
Source: RNAcentral
GGGGGCGACUUGGUUUCGACGUGGGUUACAAAACCAUCGGAGCAUGCCGAGGUGCAGAUUUCCUCGUAAAAUUAGCUGCAAUAAAUUUAGUUGCCAACGACGACAACUACGCCCUGGCGGCUUAAUCCCUGCCAGCCUUUCACCUGAUUUGUUCAUGGAUUGGGAUUUGAAGGGUCGAAAUACAUGGACUCGUACUAUGGUUUACUCGCAAACUAUAGCGCUAAAAUUUAGCGAGAUCGCUGUCUACAACCCAGUCUGUUGGGGGGUAGCCAGUUAAAUUAAUAACAGACUAAGCAUGUAGCUGCCGGUGAGUGGAGAACUUGCGGACGCGGGUUCGAUUCCCGCCGCCUCCACCA